GAUCAAGCUACAAAGAGCACAUAAUGGAUGCCUUGGUGCCAAUAGGCGAUGAAGGACGUGGCUAACUGCGAUAAGCCUCGGAGAGCGGUAAACACGCUGUGACCCGGGG
This 109-nucleotide ribosomal RNA is filed under the name Verrucomicrobiota bacterium. RNAcentral describes it as "partial 23S ribosomal RNA". It matches the Rfam family "Bacterial large subunit ribosomal RNA", at positions 1 to 109 of the family's 2925-position model. The record is from RNAcentral. Lineage: Bacteria; Pseudomonadati; Verrucomicrobiota.